UGGGGAAUUUUGGACAAUGGGGGCAACCCUGAUCCAGCCAUGCCGCGUGCGGGAAGAAGGCCUUCGGGUUGUAAACCGCUUUUAGUCGGGAAGAAAAGAUCACUCUUAAUACGGGUGGUUCUUGACGGUACCGGCGGAAUAAGCACCGGCUAACUACGUGCCAGCAGCCGCGGUAAUACGUAGGGUGCGAGCGUUAAUCGGAAUUACUGGGCGUAAAGCGUGCGCAGGCGGUUCGUUAAGUUCGUUGUGAAAGCCCCGGGCUCAACCUGGGAAUGGCAAUGGAAACUGGCGGGCUUGAGUAUGGCAGAGGGGGGUGGAAUUCCGCGUGUAGCAGUGAAAUGCGUAGAGAUGCGGAGGAACACCGAUGGCGAAGGCAGCCCCCUGGGCCAAUACUGACGCUCAGGCACGAAAGCGUGGGGAGCAAACAGG
Molecule: ribosomal RNA, 429 nt
Filed under: uncultured beta proteobacterium
Lineage: Bacteria; Pseudomonadati; Pseudomonadota; Betaproteobacteria
Description: bacterial SSU rRNA
Rfam family: Bacterial small subunit ribosomal RNA
Source: RNAcentral